CGUCACGUCACCUACCCUCAUACAUAGUCGUCGUUUACCGUUCCUUCCGAUUGCAGACAUCGCUCAAAAUUUGUAUAUCCUUCAUUUAAACCAGAUCUAAAUCGUGUUUAAACACAAACCAAAAUUAAAGAAUCCGACUGCCGAUGAUUUGUUAAUUGUUUGCAAGUGAAAAGACGUAUUACGAGUUUGUGCGUGAAUCUAACGAACAUAUCCUCCGGCAUCAGUUUAAUUCAUAGAUCAGCAUCGAUUCAACCACCUGGUUACAUCGUUAGCUUCACGCACAAACACAAAAUAAGCCUCUUCUCAAAAUCUCCGAAACACGAAAGACGCUUUCCCUGUCCCUGUGCGGACGAUGUGAGAGACUCCUCAGAUCUUCUCUUCCCUCGCCCUUGUCGCUCCGCUAUGUAUUUGUGUGCUGCGAGUUGGGCCCAAAAUCGCAAAUUAGCCCAGAGGUCCAAUAUUGUUGCAUCAUGCAAAUACUAUGUUUCAAGGACUUGAGAUGGGCAUCCACUCACUCCAGUAACUAAAGAAUGCCCUUAAGGCCGGACACUUGCAUUGGGAUGAUUACGAUAUACGAGCAGAUAGGAAGAAACUUUGUGUGGGUUGUGGAACCCGCUCCAACAGUCAUAUUUUCAAGUUUUUUAUUCUUUUUCUAGCUCAACGGGUAUCAAUCAAGUGUUGUUAUCAUUUUUUGGAUCUUGGGAUCAAGUCCUGUCUGAACAUAUGUCAUAAACAUAGAGUAAUUUAGAAAGUAAUUUAGAUUUGCUUUUCAGAAAAAAAAAAAAAAAUACUAGUAUAACAUUAUAAAUAUCCAUCUUCAUACAAUUUCAAAAUCA
Non-coding RNA from Lactuca sativa (garden lettuce), 836 nucleotides. NCBI's taxonomy places the organism in Eukaryota, Viridiplantae, Streptophyta, Magnoliopsida, Asterales, Asteraceae. The record is from RefSeq and is a predicted model, not a curated record.